GUCAGCCGCCGCGGUAAUACGAAGGGGGCUAGCGUUGCUCGGAAUCACUGGGCGUAAAGGGCGCGUAGGCGGCGUUUUAAGUCGGGGGUGAAAGCCUGUGGCUCAACCACAGAAUGGCCUUCGAUACUGGGACGCUUGAGUAUGGUAGAGGUUGGUGGAACUGCGAGUGUAGAGGUGAAAUUCGUAGAUAUUCGCAAGAACACCGGUGGCGAAGGCGGCCAACUGGACCAUUACUGACGCUGAGGCGCGAAAGCGUGGGGAGCAAACUGGAUUAGAUACCCUGGUAGUCCACGCCGUAUAACGAUGAAUGCCAGCUGUUGGGGUGCUUGCACCGCAGUAGCGCAGCUAACGCUUUGAGCAUUCCGCCUGGGGAGUACGGUCGCAAGAUUAAAACUCAAAGGAAUUGACGGGGGCCCGCACAAGCGGUGGAGCAUGUGGUUUAAUUCGAAGCCACCGCGCAAGAACCCUUACCAUCCCUUUGGACAUGGCGGUGUUACCCAGAGAAGAUCUGGGGGUCCCCUUUCGGGGGCGCGCCCACAGGGUGCUGCAUGGCUGUCGUCAGACUCGUGUCGUGAAGAUUUUGGGUUAAGCUCCCGCAACGAGCGCAACCCACGUCCUUAGUUGCCAUCAUUCAGUUGGGCACUCUAGGGAGACUGCCGGUGAUAAGCCGCGAGGAAGGUGUGGAUGACGUCAAGUCCUCAUGGCCCUUACGGGAUGGGCUACACACGUGCUACAAUGGCGGUGACAGUGGGAGGCGAAGGAGCGAUCUGGAGCAAAUCCCCAAAAGCCGUCUCAGUUCGGAUUGCACUCUGCAACUCGAGUGCAUGAAGGCGGAAUCGCUAGUAAUCGUGGAUCAGCAUGCCACGGUGAAUACGUUCCCGGGCCUUGUACACACCGCCCGUCACACCAUGGGAGUUGGUCUUACCCGACGGCGCUGCGCCAACCGCAAGGAGGCAGGCGACCACGGUAGGGUCAGCGACUGGGGUGAAGUCGUCACAAGGUAGCC
This 1006-nucleotide ribosomal RNA is filed under the name uncultured bacterium. Its description in RNAcentral is "bacterial SSU rRNA". It matches the Rfam family "Bacterial small subunit ribosomal RNA", at positions 507 to 1501 of the family's 1533-position model. The record is from RNAcentral.